Molecule: ribosomal RNA, 1093 nt
Filed under: Cytobacillus kochii
Lineage: Bacteria; Bacillati; Bacillota; Bacilli; Caryophanales; Bacillaceae
Description: bacterial SSU rRNA
Rfam family: Bacterial small subunit ribosomal RNA
Source: RNAcentral
CGGGUGAGUAACACGUGGGCAACCUGCCUGUAAGACUGGGAUAACUCCGGGAAACCGGGGCUAAUACCGGAUAAUAUCUAUUUAUACAUAUAAUUAGAUUGAAAGAUGGUUCUGCUAUCACUUACAGAUGGGCCCGCGGCGCAUUAGCUAGUUGGUGAGGUAACGGCUCACCAAGGCGACGAUGCGUAGCCGACCUGAGAGGGUGAUCGGCCACACUGGGACUGAGACACGGCCCAGACUCCUACGGGAGGCAGCAGUAGGGAAUCUUCCGCAAUGGACGAAAGUCUGACGGAGCAACGCCGCGUGAGUGAUGAAGGUUUUCGGAUCGUAAAACUCUGUUGUUAGGGAAGAACAAGUACCGGAGUAACUGCCGGUACCUUGACGGUACCUAACCAGAAAGCCACGGCUAACUACGUGCCAGCAGCCGCGGUAAUACGUAGGUGGCAAGCGUUGUCCGGAAUUAUUGGGCGUAAAGCGCGCGCAGGCGGUUCCUUAAGUCUGAUGUGAAAGCCCACGGCUCAACCGUGGAGGGUCAUUGGAAACUGGGGAACUUGAGUGCAGAAGAGGAAAGUGGAAUUCCAAGUGUAGCGGUGAAAUGCGUAGAGAUUUGGAGGAACACCAGUGGCGAAGGCGACUUUCUGGUCUGUAACUGACGCUGAGGCGCGAAAGCGUGGGGAGCAAACAGGAUUAGAUACCCUGGUAGUCCACGCCGUAAACGAUGAGUGCUAAGUGUUAGAGGGUUUCCGCCCUUUAGUGCUGCAGCAAACGCAUUAAGCACUCCGCCUGGGGAGUACGCCCGCAAGGUUGAAACUCAAAGGAAUUGGCGGGGGCCCGCACAAGCGGUGGAACAUGUGGUUUAAUUCGAAGCAACGCGAAGAACCUUACCAGGUCUUGACAUCCUUUGACAAUCCUAGAGAUAGGACUUUCCCCUUCGGGGGACAGAGUGACAGGUGGUGCAUGGUUGUCGUCAGCUCGUGUCGUGAGAUGUUGGGUUAAGUCCCGCAACGAGCGCAACCCUUGAUCUUAGUUGCCAGCAUUUAGUUGGGCACUCUAAGGUGACUGCCGGUGACAAACCGGAGGAAGGUGGGGAUGA